UGGGGAAUAUUGGACAAUGGGCGAAAGCCUGAUCCAGCCAUGCCGCGUGUGUGAAGAAGGCCUUUUGGUUGUAAAGCACUUUAAGCGAGGAGGAGGCUACUUGGAUUAAUACUCUAGGAUAGUGGACGUUACUCGCAGAAUAAGCACCGGCUAACUCUGUGCCAGCAGCCGCGGUAAUACAGAGGGUGCGAGCGUUAAUCGGAUUUACUGGGCGUAAAGCGUGCGUAGGCGGCUUUUUAAGUCGGAUGUGAAAUCCCUGAGCUUAACUUAGGAAUUGCAGUCGAUACUGGGAAGCUAGAGUAUGGGAGAGGAUGGUAGAAUUCCAGGUGUAGCGGUGAAAUGCGUAGAGAUCUGGAGGAAUACCGAUGGCGAAGGCAGCCAUCUGGCCUAAUACUGACGCUGAGGUACGAAAGCAUGGGGAGCAAACAGG
Molecule: ribosomal RNA, 430 nt
Filed under: Acidobacteriota bacterium
Lineage: Bacteria; Pseudomonadati; Acidobacteriota
Description: Acidobacteria bacterium partial 16S ribosomal RNA
Rfam family: Bacterial small subunit ribosomal RNA
Source: RNAcentral